GACGAACGCUGGCGGCGUGCUUAACACAUGCAAGUCGAGCGGUAAGGCCUUUCGGGGUACACGAGCGGCGAACGCGUGAGUAACACGUGGGUGAUCUGCCCUGCACUUCGGGAUAAGCCUGGGAAACUGGGUCUAAUACCGGAUAUGACCUCCUAUCGCAUGGUGGGUGGUGGAAAGAUUUAUCGGUGCAGGAUGGGCCCGCGGCCUAUCAGCUUGUUGGUGGGGUAAUGGCCUACCAAGGCGACGACGGGUAGCCGACCUGAGAGGGUGACCGGCCACACUGGGACUGAGACACGGCCCAGACUCCUACGGGAGGCAGAAGUGGGGAAUAUUGCACAAUGGGCGAAAGCCUGAUGCAGCGACGCCGCGUGAGGGAUGACGGCCUUCGGGUUGUAAACCUCUUUCAGCAGGGACGAAGCGCAAGUGACGGUACCUGCAGAAGAAGCACCGGCUAACUACGUG
This 462-nucleotide ribosomal RNA is filed under the name uncultured bacterium. Its description in RNAcentral is "partial 16S ribosomal RNA". It matches the Rfam family "Bacterial small subunit ribosomal RNA", at positions 28 to 507 of the family's 1533-position model. The record is from RNAcentral.